GACGAACGCUGGCGGCGUGCUUAACACAUGCAAGUCGAGCGGUAAGGCCCUUUCGGGGGUACGACGAGCGGCGAACGGGUGAGUAACACGUGGGUGACCUGCCCUUAGCUCUGGGAUAAGCCUGGGAAACGUAGGGUCUAAUACCGGAUAUGACUCCAUGACGCAUGUUGUGGGGUGGAAAGCCUUGUGCGGCUAGGGAUGGGCCCGCGGCCUAUCAGCUUGUUGGUGGGGUGAUGGCCUACCAAGGCGACGACGGGUAGCCGGCCUGAGAGGGCGACCGGCCACACUGGGACUGAGACACGGCCCAGACUCCUACGGGAGGGCAGCAGUGGGGAAGUCUUGCGCAAUGGGCGAAAGCCUGACGCAGCGACGCCGCGUGAGGGAUGACGGCCU
Molecule: ribosomal RNA, 393 nt
Filed under: uncultured bacterium
Lineage: Bacteria
Description: bacterial SSU rRNA
Rfam family: Bacterial small subunit ribosomal RNA
Source: RNAcentral